UAGGCCUCAGUGCAUGAUGCUGGACAAGGAUUUGUGUACUGCUUGAGGACAAGGGGUACUCGGGUCCCCAGGGAAGACCGUCCUUGUAUCGCAGCCAUUUCUUCCAAGAGGCAAAGAGGCAAUGCAACUUGAUAGUUGUGUCAUCCUGUGAAAAGAGGUUCUCCUGUGAAAAGAAAUCCUCAAGCUGCCGCUACAAUGGAGAUGGUUUGUGGCUGAGGGUCAUGGAAUUACAGGUAUGGUGGAACUGGGGUGAGUUGAUCUGUGACUACACAGGCUCUGCCACUCACAAAUCUUGUGUUUCAGUGGCAGUGCAGUUAAUGGCUGGCUGAGUCUGCUGAGUGAACUUUUGGAGGGGCAGGAUUUCAUCCCCCUUCUAACCAGCAGUCCCUUCACAGGAGACUUCUGUGGCAGGUAAGAGCUUAUCUCUUUGC
This 431-nucleotide long non-coding RNA is filed under the name Taeniopygia guttata (zebra finch). Its description in RNAcentral is "lncRNA (ENSTGUG00000026501.1)". The record is from RNAcentral. Lineage: Eukaryota; Metazoa; Chordata; Aves; Passeriformes; Estrildidae.